UUAAAUUGAAGAGUUUGAUCAUGGCUCAGAUUGAACGCUGGCGGCAGGCCUAACACAUGCAAGUCGAACGGUAACAGGAAGAAGGUUGCU
RNAcentral lists this ribosomal RNA (90 nucleotides) under Escherichia coli. RNAcentral's name for it is "partial 16S ribosomal RNA". It matches the Rfam family "Bacterial small subunit ribosomal RNA", at positions 1 to 84 of the family's 1533-position model. The record is from RNAcentral. Lineage: Bacteria; Pseudomonadati; Pseudomonadota; Gammaproteobacteria; Enterobacterales; Enterobacteriaceae.